CGCUCUGGCUCGGGGUCUAGACAUCUCUGCAGUCACCAAAGAUUUAAGGAAGGACCAGAAAUGGCUACCAAGUCCGUUGUUCUUGUGAUCAUUUUCUGCAUCCUCCUUGGCUCGCACCAUCUUCCCUCGAUGUCAUCGGCUGCUUGAAUCCUCGCAGAUGAUGGUCACGGCAAAAUCGGGGUGGGAGGGAGCACGCCGAAGCAAGACGGCUCGUGGAACGGCAAUGGCUCACCUUCGGGCACCAUCAUGCUGUCUCCGCCAACCUCGGCCAUGCAUAUUGCCUAUGCGCACGCUGUCGUGAAUGUUACCAGUAGCGAAAAAAAACCUGGAAAGAGCCCCUGAUGGUUGAUUCUUGGCCUUCUGGUAAUUUUGUCCCUUCACAAAGCAGCAAGCCCGAACGAGGAAGGGAAGACUGUUUUUCCUCUUCAUUUGAUCGCUUUACUCAGUAUCGAUCGGUCGUCGAUGUAUUCAUUCGAAUAAUGGAAUAAUCUCAGCUAUUGCAUAAAAGUGUGUUUGUUGUAAUGUUGAUACACCACGGAUAAUCUCAUUUAUUGUAAUAAAUCACAUCGUUGAACC
Long non-coding RNA from Rhodamnia argentea, 576 nucleotides. RefSeq lists it as uncharacterized. NCBI's taxonomy places the organism in Eukaryota, Viridiplantae, Streptophyta, Magnoliopsida, Myrtales, Myrtaceae. The transcript is spliced from 2 exons. The record is from RefSeq and is a predicted model, not a curated record.